This is a long non-coding RNA of Lacerta agilis (Sand lizard), 436 nucleotides long. RefSeq lists it as uncharacterized. The transcript has 3 exons. The record is from RefSeq and is a predicted model, not a curated record. NCBI's taxonomy places the organism in Eukaryota, Metazoa, Chordata, Lepidosauria, Squamata, Lacertidae.
CUCACUUUUUCUCCAUCAUCUUCUGCAGGUCUGAAGGGGAAUCUGAAGGAUGGAAGGGUUCUAGAGCAAGCCGCAAUCAUCAGAAAGUCACUGCAGCACCACCAGGAGAGUAUGUAAUUAUGGUCCAUGAAGUGACUUCACCUCCAUUCCUAGGCCAGUAUCUCCCACCUGCGUUCAAACUCUUGAGGGUUAUGCCAAAGAGAGGCAAAAGUGCGGGUUUUGAAAAGGAAACAAAAAAAGAUGUUGUCAAUUGAAGAAAAGAAUUUGAAAGAUGUGACCACGACUAAUGCCCAGCUGGACACAGUGAUGAUUUUCAGUUUCUAGAAUCCCGUUUCUUCAGAUGAAGUUAAACAGACUGCCAAGAAAACUAGAAUUAACAAAUCACCAAGCCCAGAUGGAUUUCCUCCUCAAUAUUAUAAAAUAUUUGAAGAUGUGG